RNAcentral lists this ribosomal RNA (200 nucleotides) under uncultured bacterium. Its description in RNAcentral is "partial 16S ribosomal RNA". It matches the Rfam family "Bacterial small subunit ribosomal RNA", at positions 8 to 212 of the family's 1533-position model. The record is from RNAcentral.
AGAGUUUGAUCCUGGCUCAGAUUGAACGCUGGCGGCACGCCUAACACAUGCAAGUCGAGCGGUAACAUGAGUAGUAGUAAUACUAUUUGAUGACGAGCGGCGGACGGGUGAGUAACACGUAGGAACUUGCCCAGAAGAGGGGGAUAACCAAGGGAAACUUUGGCUAAUACCGCAUAAUACUCGGAAGAGGAAAGGUGUUG